Molecule: ribosomal RNA, 643 nt
Filed under: uncultured bacterium
Lineage: Bacteria
Description: bacterial SSU rRNA
Rfam family: Bacterial small subunit ribosomal RNA
Source: RNAcentral
CGCGGCCUAUCAGCUUGUUGGUGGGGUAGUGGCCUACCAAGGCGACGACGGGUAGCCGGCCUGAGAGGGUGACCGGCCACACUGGGACUGAGACACGGCCCAGACUCCUACGGGGGGCAGCAGUGGGGAAUAUUGCGCAAUGGGCGGAAGCCUGACGCAGCGACGCCGCGUGGGGGAUGACGGCCUUCGGGUUGUAAACCUCUUUCAGCAGGGACGAAGCGGAAGUGACGGUACCUGCAGAAGAAGCACCGGCCAACUACGUGCCAGCAGCCGCGGUAAUACGUAGGGUGCAGGCGUUGUCCGGAAUUAUUGGGCGUAAAGAGCUCGUAGGCGGUUCGUCGCGUCGGCUGUGAAAACCUGAGGCACAACCUCAGGCCUGCAGUCGAUACGGGCGGACUUGAGUUCGGCAGGGGAGACUGGAAUUCCUGGUGUAGCGGUGAAAUGCGCAGAUAUCAGGAGGAACACCGGUGGCGAAGGCGGGUCUCUGGGCCGAAACUGACGCUGAGGAGCGAAAGCGUGGGGAGCGAACAGGAUUAGAUACCCUGGUAGUCCACGCCGUAAACGUUGGGCGCUAGGUGUGGGGGCCAUUCCACGGUCUCCGUGCCGCAGCUAACGCAUUAAGCGCCCCGCCUGGGGAGUACGG